UGCUGCAGCUAACGCAUUAAGCACUUCCGCCUGGGGAGUACGGUCGCAAGACUGAAACUCAAAGGAAUUGACGGGGGCCCGCACAAGCGGUGGAACAUGUGGUUUAAUUUCGAAGCAACGCGAAGAACCUUACCAGGUCUUGACAUUCCUCUGACAACUCUAGAGAUAGAGCGUUCCCCUUCGGGGGACAGAGUGACAGGUGGUGCAUGGUUGUCGUCAGCUCGUGUCGUGAGAUGUUGGGUUAAGUCCCGCAACGAGCGCAACCCUUGAUCUUAGUUGCCAGCAUUUAGUUGGGCACUCUAAGGUGACUGCCGGUGACAAACCGGAGGAAGGUGGGGAUGACGUCAAAUCAUCAUGCCCCUUAUGACCUGGGCUACACACGUGCUA
RNAcentral lists this ribosomal RNA (387 nucleotides) under Priestia flexa. RNAcentral describes it as "bacterial SSU rRNA". It matches the Rfam family "Bacterial small subunit ribosomal RNA", at positions 844 to 1227 of the family's 1533-position model. Lineage: Bacteria; Bacillati; Bacillota; Bacilli; Caryophanales; Bacillaceae. The record is from RNAcentral.